This 622-nucleotide ribosomal RNA is filed under the name Akkermansia muciniphila. Its description in RNAcentral is "bacterial SSU rRNA". It matches the Rfam family "Bacterial small subunit ribosomal RNA", at positions 37 to 680 of the family's 1533-position model. Lineage: Bacteria; Pseudomonadati; Verrucomicrobiota; Verrucomicrobiia; Verrucomicrobiales; Akkermansiaceae. The record is from RNAcentral.
UGGCGGCGUGGAUAAGACAUGCAAGUCGAACGAGAGAAUUGCUAGCUUGCUAAUAAUUCUCUAGUGGCGCACGGGUGAGUAACACGUGAGUAACCUGCCCCCGAGGGCGGGAUAGCCCUGGGAAACUGGGAUUAAUACCGCAUAGUAUCGAAAGAUUAAAGCAGCAAUGCGCUUGGGGAUGGGCUCGCGGCCUAUUAGUUAGUUGGUGAGGUGACGGCUCACCAAGGCGAUGACGGGUAGCCGGUCUGAGAGGAUGUCCGGCCACACUGGAACUGAGACACGGUCCAGACACCUACGGGUGGCAGCAGUCGAGAAUCAUUCACAAUGGGGGAAACCCUGAUGGUGCGACGCCGCGUGGGGGAAUGAAGGUCUUCGGAUUGUAAACCCCUGUCAUGUGGGAGCAAAUUAAAAAGAUAGUACCACAAGAGGAAGAGACGGCUAACUCUGUGCCAGCAGCCGCGGUAAUACAGAGGUCUCAAGCGUUGUUCGGAAUCACUGGGCGUAAAGCGUGCGUAGGCUGUUUCGUAAGUCGUGUGUGAAAGGCGCGGGCUCAACCCGCGGACGGCACAUGAUACUGCGAGACUAGAGUAAUGGAGGGGGAACCGGAAUUCACGGUGUAGCA